RNAcentral lists this ribosomal RNA (498 nucleotides) under uncultured bacterium. RNAcentral's name for it is "bacterial SSU rRNA". It matches the Rfam family "Bacterial small subunit ribosomal RNA", at positions 501 to 1000 of the family's 1533-position model. The record is from RNAcentral.
CUACGUGCCAGCAGCCGCGGUAAUACGGAGGGUGCGAGCGUUAAUCGGAAUAACUGGGCGUAAAGGGCACGCAGGCGGUGACUUAAGUGAGGUGUGAAAGCCCCGGGCUUAACCUGGGAAUUGCAUUUCAUACUGGGUCGCUAGAGUACUUUAGGGAGGGGUAGAAUUCCACGUGUAGCGGUGAAAUGCGUAGAGAUGUGGAGGAAUACCGAAGGCGAAGGCAGCCCCUUGGGAAUGUACUGACGCUCAUGUGCGAAAGCGUGGGGAGCAAACAGGAUUAGAUACCCUGGUAGUCCACGCUGUAAACGAUGUCGAUUUGGGGGUUGAGCUUUAAGCUUGGCGCCCGUAGCUAACGUGAUAAAUCGACCGCCUGGGGAGUACGGCCGCAAGGUUAAAACUCAAAUGAAUUGACGGGGACCCGCACAAGCGGUGGAUGAUGUGGAUUAAUUCGAUGCAACGCGAAGAACCUUACCUACUCUUGACAUCCAGAGAACAUUC